Molecule: signal recognition particle RNA, 274 nt
Filed under: Candidatus Woesearchaeota archaeon
Lineage: Archaea; Nanobdellati; Candidatus Woesearchaeota
Description: signal recognition particle sRNA
Rfam family: Archaeal signal recognition particle RNA
Source: RNAcentral
AAUUGGGCUAGAUUGGCUGGUGUAGGCGCGCAGCUGUUACCCUAAAUCGUCUUUAUGGGAAUCGAAAACUUGAGAGCGACAUCUGGAUAGAUUGUUGGCCUCUUUGUUGACGUCGAAGCUUCGCCUCUGUUGGUGUUAUAUUCAUGUGAACCCGGCCAGGGCAGGAAUGCAGCAACCGUAGCUUGUUUAUGGUGUGCUUCAGAGAUACGGAGUGGAGUUGGCUUUGAGGAUAACCUUCAGUUGGUUCUUUUGUCCAUCUCAAGGAAGCCCACUU